GGUCUUUCAGUUCUGCCUAGUUCUGUGG
This 28-nucleotide non-coding RNA is filed under the name Mus musculus (house mouse). Lineage: Eukaryota; Metazoa; Chordata; Mammalia; Rodentia; Muridae. The record is from RNAcentral.